RNAcentral lists this ribosomal RNA (658 nucleotides) under Hapalosiphon sp. c12. Its description in RNAcentral is "bacterial SSU rRNA". It matches the Rfam family "Bacterial small subunit ribosomal RNA", at positions 25 to 725 of the family's 1533-position model. Lineage: Bacteria; Bacillati; Cyanobacteriota; Cyanophyceae; Nostocales; Hapalosiphonaceae. The record is from RNAcentral.
CAGGAUGAACGCUGGCGGUAUGCUUAACACAUGCAAGUCGAACGGGCUCUUUCGGGGGCAAGUGGCGGACGGGUGAGUAACGCGUGAGAAUCUGGCUCUAGGUUCGGGACAACCACUGGAAACGGUGGCUAAUACCGGAUGUGCCGAGAGGUGAAAGGUUAACUGCCUGGAGAUGAGCUCGCGUCUGAUUAGCUAGUUGGUGGUGUAAGGGACUACCAAGGCGACGAUCAGUAGCUGGUCUGAGAGGAUGAUCAGCCACACUGGAACUGAGACACGGUCCAGACUCCUACGGGAGGCAGCAGUGGGGAAUUUUCCGCAAUGGGCGAAAGCCUGACGGAGCAAUACCGCGUGAGGGAGGAAGGCUCUUGGGUUGUAAACCUCUUUUCUCAGGGAAUAAGCAAGUGAAGGUACCUGAGGAAUCAGCAUCGGCUAACUCCGUGCCAGCAGCCGCGGUAAUACGGAGGAUGCAAGCGUUAUCCGGAAUGAUUGGGCGUAAAGCGUCCGUAGGUAGCAGUGUGUGUCUAUUGUUAAAGAGUUUGGCUUAACCAAAUAAAGGCGGUAGAAACUACACAGCUAGAGUGCGUUCGGGGCAGAGGGAAUUCCUGGUGUAGCGGUGAAAUGCGUAGAGAUCAGGAAGAACACCGGUGGCGAAAGCGCU